RNAcentral lists this long non-coding RNA (4261 nucleotides) under Gossypium raimondii (Peruvian cotton). RNAcentral's name for it is "long non-coding RNA (GRAI_LNC007675)". Lineage: Eukaryota; Viridiplantae; Streptophyta; Magnoliopsida; Malvales; Malvaceae. The record is from RNAcentral.
UUGGUGAGCUGAAUGGAGUGUCUUGGUUCGGCCUAGAAGCUUGGAAAAGCUUUGAUGAAGACUCAUUGGUGAGCUGAACAGCUUGCAUGCUUUUAAUGAAGUUUUGGGGAUCUCCAACAGCCCCAUGGUGUGAACAAAGAAUAGGAGCAGCCAUGUGUGUGAACUCAUGAAACCGAAUGGCCAAAAGAUAGAAAAAUUUGUUCAGCUGUUGGUGGCGUCUUCCAAGGUGAUUGAUGAACUGAAUUGAGCUGCUUUGGAAAGUGAAAGGAAGCUCCCAAAAGACCCUUGCUGUUCACGAAGGGGUGCAUGGAGGAGAGUAAUCAGCAGCAGCCAAAUUGAAUGCCGUCUAUGUCAAAUUCCUGCACCAAAUUAAAACAGCCUUUAAUUCUUGUUUUAGGACAAAAUAAAUUCAUGCAAUAUGUCAACAUAAUUUCGGCAGCUACUUAAGGCAUUUUUUUAUGCAUGAACUAAGACAUAUUAAUUAUCUAUAUUAAUUUCAGUUGGCCUAAGACACAUUAAAAACUUGUAUUAAAUUAAGACAACUUUACAGCACAUUAAUACUCGAAUUUAAAAUGUCCAGAAUUUAGACCAAUUAAUUUAUUAAACAAAAACUUAACUAAUUAACUAACUUAAUUAAUAACUUUAUUCAGCAACUAAAAUGCAAUAAUUAAAUAAACUGCAAUCUAGCUCUAUGAGCUAACUAAAUGACAAUUUGAGCUCCUUUGAGCUAGCACAAGCUAAGUCAGCUUGUAGAAAAUUGCAUAUCGAGCUACUUGAGCUGGCCACUUGAUGUUCAGCCAUUCCAUCGAUCCAAACUCGAGCAAUGUAGCUACCCACAACUUCUUGAAACCUCUUGGCACGAGCUCGAGUGAUUGGCCCCAAUGGCAGCUCUAUAGGUUCGUCAUUAGGCUUGAUGGGCGAGCUCACAUCAACAGGUCGAAUCAUGUCUGAUCUUUCGAUGAAAUCUUUCCAUAUUAGUAAGCAAGCUUUACUUAAGAAUAAGCAAAAUAAAGAACCUAACUUUUUAGAGACCUUGGAAUUUCUAGGGAAUCUGUCAUACCGCCUCCUUCGAGUUCCAUAAUUUUUCUCAAAUCUUCCCAUAAGCAGUUUUGAUGGAGAAAGAACCUGUCGAAGUGCCACCUCAAAUGAUCCUAUCACCCCUUGCAUCUGGAUGGGGAGGAGGAUUUGUGACAAUCCUUCGGAUCAUCUCUUUUGAUAGCCAAAUCCGGAAGAGGUCAAGAUUCCAUACACCAUCACAUGUAACCAUCUCACUGAGAAGGUAGUCCAUAUCAAGAUUGGGAUGCCCUGGAAUUACACUAGCCAGAGAUCCUAUAGAAUCCAUGGAUCUCGCCAACAUCUAAUACUGUUUCCAUCCCUUAUUGACCAAAGUAGAUUUUCCAGAAUAAGAGGCCAAGCCUUAGUGAGAGCUUUCCAUAAGAAAAAACCCCUUCCACUCGAUAACGUAUCAGGAAAUCCAAGCGGAAUUCUAUAUUUAGCCCGAAGAACCCGAACCCAAAGAGCUAUAGAGUCAGACACAAGGCUAAACCCAACAUUAUCAUAAAAGAAGUAAUAUGAUCUUGUAACUUCUUAAGGCCGAGUCUACCAUGAUCCCGGGGUUGGUAGAGAUUUCCCAAGUAACCAAAGCCAAAUUUUUUUCACCAAUUGAAUAGCCCCAAGUAAACUGUCUAACCAUAUGUUCAAUUUCCUUGCAAAGCCCUUUAAGGGUCAUCAUAGAUUACAUGAAGUAGCUAAGGAUUGACAACAAUACUAACUAAGUCAGGGUGGCUCUUCCUCCUAUUGUUAACUUCUUAACAUCCCAGCUAUAAAGUUUGCUUCAAACCUUUUCAACUACAAACCUCAAGGUGCUAUUUGUAACUCUAUCAUUAAAUAGAGGCACAACCAAAUAGGUCCCAAGAUUCUAAACACAGUGGAAUCUGAGUAGAUUACAAACCUGCUCCCUUAACUCAUCAUUAAAACCUUUAGAAAAGAAGAUAUUAGAUUUGUACGCAGUUAUCCUAUGUCCAGAAUAGCCACAAAAUCCAUUCAAUACACCUUUUAGGAUCCUGGCUUGACUUUCAUUGGCUUGACAAAAGAGAAAUAAAUCGUCAGUAAAGAAUAAAUACGAAAGAAGUGGACCUAGUCGAGACAGAUGAAUAAGAAUUGAUUGCCUAGAGUUGAUAGUCAAGUGGAUGCUAUGUCUGAGCCACUCCAUACACAACACAAAGAGAUAAAGGGAUAAAGGACACCCUUUGCCGAACAACUCUUACGAGAUAGAAUUUCUGAGACAGGAUUUCAUUCCACAAGUUUUGCAUGGUAGAAUUGGUGAUAGCUAACAUAAUAACAUGACAGAGAGUGUUAGGAAUACCUUUAGCCUGGAGAGAUACGUCAAUGAAAUCCCACUUCACCCGAUCAUAAGCCUUUUCAAGAUCUAUCUUGAUCGCCAACCAUUUCCAAUUCUUUUGUAUGAUUUUCAUAGAGUGUAUCACUUCCUGAGCGAUUAUAAUAUUAUUUGUGAUAUUUCUCCCAACAAUAAAUCCAGACUGAUAUUGCCUAAUGAUCUUCGAGAAGACCACUUUAAACUAAUUUACAAUUAUCUUCAUAACCAAUUUAUAUAGAACUGAACUCAAGCUUAUAGGCCCGAACUGUGAAAUAUUUUCAGGAUUUUGAACUUUAGGAAUAAAGACAAUAAGGAUGUUGUUCAAUUCAGGAUCAAUGCACUCCAUUGAAAAAACAUUUUUAACCCAAGAACAGACGACAUCACCGUCUCGGUCCCACUGACUCUGAAAGAAAAGGGCAUGAAACCCAUCACUACCCAGGGCCUUUAAUGGGUCCAUAUAAAAAAAAGCAAUCUUUAUUUCCUCAGUAGAGACCGAUUUACACAAGAGUUGGAAAUCUCCCUCUGCAAUCUGGGAAAACGAACUAAGAGGCAAGGCUCACAUCGAUUUCGGUUUCUCACCAUACAAAUUCUGAAAGAACCUAAUCGCUUCAUUUUGUAAUUCUUCCUCAUCAAAAAUCCAUUCUCCCAGCCCAUUCUUCAAGGCCAUGAUCCAACUUUGCUUUCUCCUUUGAAGUGUACACUGAUGAUAAGAUUUUGUAUUUAUGUCUCUUAGAAGAAGCCAGUCAUAUCUCACCUUCUGUUUCUAAAGAAGUUCCUUAUGAUGAAGCACAUUUUCAACGUCCUCCUGGACAUUAAUUUCCAACUAAAAUAAAGAAUCCGAUUGAGAAUAACCCAUACCUUUCUGAAAAUUAGAGAGUUUCUGAAUCAUCAUUUUUUUACGUGUCCUGAUAUGUCCACACAUUUUUAUUCCUCUUGAGUUGAUUCAUGAAGUGAGCAAAAGAAUCCGAAAAAUACCCAUUAAAGCUCUACUUUUCCAUGAAAAACUUCGAGAAAUCUGGAUGUUCUAACCAACCAGCUAAAAAAUGAAAAGGACGACCUUUAGAUAAGCGAAACGAUGGUUUGAGAGAAACCAAGAGAGGUCUAUGGUUAGAUUUGAGUAUUGGAAGAUGAGUCACAAACCAAUUUCGGAAAGAGUCAGUCCACUCAUCAUUGCCAAUAGCUCUAUCUAAGUGCUCAAACACACCACCUCUAUUCCAUGUAAAAGUAGGGCCUCUAAACCCCAAAUCAUGCUAUUUAGUCGGUUCCAUAAAAUCACCAAAAAAGGGGCAUAUUUUCCAAAUAAUUUGCCCACCUCUUUUUUCACUAGAAGAAAUAAGUGCAUUAAAGUCCCCUACUGCCAACCAAUGAGACUUGUUACUUGGAAUAGUCAUCUUGAAGCCUUCCCAAAGGUGUUUUUGUUUUCGACUAUAAUGACUACUAUAAACGAAAAAAACAAAGGUCGAUCUAGAGAAUUAUCAAAAACCUGUAACAAAACAAAUUGAGGAUGGCUCCGAAGGACUUUGACACAAAUUAACUCAUUCCAUCUAAUCCAAAUACCCCUAGAAAAACCAAAUGCCUCCACACAAUGAGAGAAUUGAAAAUCGAGAUUAGCGAUGAUCAAAUCAGCUUUAACACCACUAACUCUAGUCUCUAAAAGACCCACAAUAUAAAGCUUGUGCUAUUGAUUAUUCUCACAAAAAUACGUGAAAAUUUGCUACUGGCGCACCCUUGAAAAUUUCAUGAAAAUAUAGAAAAACACAUUAUUUGAAAAUAAUAAUAAUAAAAAAGCCAAAGAAUGACCUUUAUUUCUUGGGCAAAUGAUUUUCUUCAUGACUUUCCCAUCACUAUUCAACACCUCCUUACCAGUCCCAUUUUCAAUCUGUG